AGCGAGAAUUAUGUGGGAAUCAUAAUGGCCGAAAGUCUAAGGUUUCCUGGGGAAGGUUCGUCCGCCCAGGGUAAGCCGGGAGCUAAGGCGAGGCCGCAAGGCGUAGUCGAUGCACAUACGGUAGAAAUUCCGUAGCCGGCUCAAUCGUUAGGCAUACUGACACAUGAGAGUAGCUCUACCGGGCGUUGGUUGCCCCGGGCGUAAGCGAGCCGAAUGAGGCGAAGUGAGUAAAUCUUGUGGCGAGAAAAGGUGUGUGUAUUGGUUGAGCUGCCCGUACCGCAAACCGACACAGGUAGAUGAGGAGAAGAUCCUAAGGCCAUCGGGAGAAGGGUUGUUAAGGAACUAGGCAAAUUGACCCCGUAACUUCGGGAGAAGGGGUGCCUACGAGAGUAGGCCGCAGAGAAUCGGCCCAAGCAACUGUUUACCAAAAACACAGGUCUCUGCUAAAUCGAAAGAUGACGUAUAGGGGCUGACGCCUGCCCGGUGCUGGAAGGUUAAGAGGAGGACUUAGUGGCAACACGAAGGCCCGAAUUGAAGCCCCAGUAAACGGCGGCCGUAACAAUAACGGUCCUAAGGUAGCGAAAUUCCUUGUCAGGUAAGUUCUGACCCGCACGAAAGGCGUAAUGAUUUGGGCACUGUCUCAACAGCCCGCCCGGCGAAAUUGUAGUACCGGUGAAGAUGCCGGUUACCCGCAACUAGACGGAAAGACCCCAUGGAGCUUUACUGCAGCUUAAUACUGAGAUUCGGUAAAUCAUGUACAGGAUAGGUGGGAGACUGAGAAGCCAGGCCGUCAGGUUUGGUGGAGUCGCCCUUGGGAUACCACCCUUGGUUUGCUGGGUUUCUAACCCGCGGCCCUGAAUCGGGUCGGGGGACACUGUUAGGCGGGCAGUUUGACUGGGGCGGUCGCCUCCUAAAAUGUAACGGAGGCGCUCAAAGGUUGGCUCAGCAUGGAUGGAAACCAUGCAAUGAGUGUAAACGUAUAAGCCAGCCUGACUGCGAGACCGACGGGUCGAGCAGAGACGAAAGUCGGAGUUAGUGAUCCGGUGGUAUGUGAGUGGAAAUGCCAUCGCUCAACGGAUAAAAGCUACCCUGGGGAUAACAGGCUGAUCUCCCCCAAGCGUCCACAGCGACGGGGAGGUUUGGCACCUCGAUGUCGGCUCGUCGCAUCCUGGGGCUGAAUUAGGUCCCAAGGGUUUGGCUGUUCGCCAAUUAAAGCGGCACGCGAGCUGGGUUCAGAACGUCGUGAGACAGUUCGGUCCCUAUCUGUUGCGGGCGUAGGAGAUUUGAAGGGAGCUGACCUUAGUACGAGAGGACCGGGUUGGACGUACCUCUGGUGUACCAGUUGUUCUGCCAAGGGCAUGGCUGGGUAGCUACGUACGGACGAGAUAAACGCUGAAGGCAUCUAAGCGUGAAACUCUCCCUGAGAUAAGAUCUCCACUGAGGCUCGACGUAGACUAUGUCGUUGAUAGGUCAGAGGUGGAAGUGCAGCAAUGCAUGGAGCUGACUGAUACUAAUAAGCCGAAAGCUUGACC
This 1532-nucleotide ribosomal RNA is filed under the name metagenome. RNAcentral's name for it is "bacterial LSU rRNA". It matches the Rfam family "Bacterial large subunit ribosomal RNA", at positions 1308 to 2925 of the family's 2925-position model. The record is from RNAcentral.